UACGUAGGGUGCAAGCGUUGUCCGGAAUUAUUGGGCGUAAAGAGCUCGUAGGCGGUUUGUCGCGUCUGCUGUGAAAACCCGAGGCUCAACCUCGGGCCUGCAGCGGGUACGGGCAGACUAGAGUGCGGUAGGGGAGAUUGGAAUUCCUGGUGUAGCGGUGGAAUGCGCAGAUAUCAGGAGGAACACCAAUGGCGAAGGCAGAUCUCUGGGCCGUAACUGACGCUGAGGAGCGAAAGCAUGGGGAGCGAACAGG
RNAcentral lists this ribosomal RNA (253 nucleotides) under uncultured bacterium. Its description in RNAcentral is "partial 16S ribosomal RNA". It matches the Rfam family "Bacterial small subunit ribosomal RNA", at positions 524 to 776 of the family's 1533-position model. The record is from RNAcentral.